UGGGUAACCUGCCUCAAAGAGGGGAAUAGCCUCCCCGAAAGGGAGAUUAAUACCGCAUAAUAUGUUUAGGUCGCAUGACCUUAACAUCAAAGGAUUUUCUUUUAAGAAAUUCCACUUUGAGAUGGACCCCGCGGCGCAUUAGCUAGUUGGUGAGGUAACGGCUCACCAAGGCAACGAUGCGUAGCCGACCUGAGAGGGUGAUCCGGCCACAUUGGAACUGAGACACGGUCCAGCUCCGUAGGGAG
This 245-nucleotide ribosomal RNA is filed under the name uncultured bacterium. RNAcentral describes it as "partial 16S ribosomal RNA". It matches the Rfam family "Bacterial small subunit ribosomal RNA", at positions 118 to 347 of the family's 1533-position model. The record is from RNAcentral.